GACGAACGCUGGCGGCGUGCUUAACACAUGCAAGUCGAACGGAAAGGCCCUGCUUUUGUGGGGUGCUCGAGUGGCGAACGGGUGAGUAACACGUGAGUAACCUGCCCUUGACUUUGGGAUAACUUCAGGAAACUGGGGCUAAUACCGGAUAGGAGCUCCUGCUGCAUGGUGGGGGUUGGAAAGUUUCGGCGGUUGGGGAUGGACUCGCGGCUUAUCAGCUUGUUGGUGGGGUAGUGGCUUACCAAGGCUUUGACGGGUAGCCGGCCUGAGAGGGUGACCGGCCACAUUGGGACUGAGAUACGGCCCAGACUCCUACGGGAGGCAGCAGUGGGGAAUAUUGCACAAUGGGCGGAAGCCUGAUGCAGCAACGCCGCGUGCGGGAUGACGGCCUUCGGGUUGUAAACCGCUUUCGCCUGUGACGAAGCGUGAGUGACGGUAAUGGGUAAAGAAGCGCCGGCUAACUACGUGC
This 469-nucleotide ribosomal RNA is filed under the name uncultured bacterium. Its description in RNAcentral is "partial 16S ribosomal RNA". It matches the Rfam family "Bacterial small subunit ribosomal RNA", at positions 28 to 508 of the family's 1533-position model. The record is from RNAcentral.